This is a long non-coding RNA of Ahaetulla prasina, 499 nucleotides long. RefSeq lists it as uncharacterized. The transcript is spliced from 3 exons. The record is from RefSeq and is a predicted model, not a curated record. Lineage: Eukaryota; Metazoa; Chordata; Lepidosauria; Squamata; Colubridae.
AGAUCUGGUGGGCUUUUUAUGGAGCCUUCCUAACUCUUCUUUGGUUCUGCUUCUUUGAACUAGCUGGAGAGAUUUCAGAGGCAACUUCAGUCAUGAGGUUUCUUUUCCUAACCUUUGCAUUGCUUCUCCUCUUCUAUGUUUCUUCAGUACAGCCUAAUGCCUGUGUGAAAUAUGGUGGCUUCUGCCAGGUGGGCCUCAAGAAAAAAUGUGUGUACGGAAAUCUCCCAUACAACUGUGGCAUUAAUGCCAAGUGCUGCAAGUGUUUCCCGCACCACCAAUGACAAGUGCCUGUGAAGCCCUGGGAAUUUAUUGCCAUGUUCCCUAACAAGAACUUUGCCUUUCUAAUGUGCAAUAUUCAGCCAAUUAUGACAUUAAUGGAAGAUGUUGCAAACAUUUAUGUAGCGAGCAGUGAAACAACAGUGUAAUUAAACAAUUUAAUGAAUUUGGAUCAAACAUUUGAAUUUUGAAUUGUAUUUUGAAAGCGCCUGCUGUAAGUGCU